UACGUAGGGAGCAAGCGUUGUCCGGAAUCAUUGGGCGUAAAGCGCGCGUAGGUGGCCCCAUAAGUCCGCUGUGAAAGUCAAAGGCUCAACCUUUGAAAGCCGGUGGAUACUGUGGGACUAGAGUACGGAAGAGGCGAGUGGAAUUCCUGGUGUAGCGGUGGAAUGCGCAGAUAUCAGGAGGAACACCAAUAGCGAAGGCAGCUCGCUGGGACGUACUGACACUGAGGCGCGAAAGCGUGGGGAGCGAAACAGGG
This 254-nucleotide ribosomal RNA is filed under the name uncultured bacterium. RNAcentral's name for it is "partial 16S ribosomal RNA". It matches the Rfam family "Bacterial small subunit ribosomal RNA", at positions 524 to 777 of the family's 1533-position model. The record is from RNAcentral.